UAUAUGAUUCGCAUCCAUUGAAAAUUAUAAAUCCUUUUUAUGAGUAUAUAUUUUUUAAAAAAACCACUUUAUUGUUUGUUAUUGUUAGUUUACUAUAGCAGUCUAUGUAGUACAAAGACUUGGUGGCUUAAACAACAGGAGUUUAUUUUCUGGAAGUUUUGGGGGGUUAGAAGUUCAACAUCAAGGUGUCAGCAGGAUUUUUGUUUGUUUGUUUUGUUUUUGUGGGGCCUCUCUCCUUGGGUUGUAGAUGUAUGUCUUCUCCCUGUGAUUUCAACAUGGUUUUUCCUUUGGGUUUACCUCUGUCCUAAUCUCUUCUUCUUAGAAAGACCUGAGACAUAUUAUAUUUGGGCCCAUCCUGAUCACCUCAUUUUAAUUUAAUUGUGUCUUUAAAGAGAAAGACCCUCUCUCACACACAGUCACAUUCAACCAUAAUGGUUGUUAGAAUUUCAACGUAUGUGUUUUGGAAAGACAUUUAUUCAGACCAUAAUCUUGAUUAAGAGUAAUCUUCACUCACAUAAGUCAAUAUAACUUCUUUGAUUUCAUUUCUAAAUAAUCUUUUCUUGUAAAUAUUCACAUAAGUGAAAUUGAUGUUAUUUUAAGGGCUGAACAAUAAAAUUUACUGAAUAGAGAAAGAUUUUGUUAUACUUAAAUUGAGAAUUCUUUCUUUAAAAAUGAAUAGUCCAUUUCUUUCAAAUGUACUGCUGUCAUUAUAAAAGUAAUUCAACAGAGGUGAUUUUCCUUUGCAGUAGCAGUAACCACAUGGACAUAAACAACCACAUAAACUACCAAAGUAUAUGAAUAAAUCUAAGAAAGAAUGUAGAAGAUAUACACAAAUUAUGGAGCUUUAUGGAAGGAGAUUUUAAAAAACUGAAGAAAUGA
Molecule: long non-coding RNA, 879 nt
Filed under: Marmota monax (woodchuck)
Lineage: Eukaryota; Metazoa; Chordata; Mammalia; Rodentia; Sciuridae
Source: RNAcentral